CUUCCCAGAACAGGUGAAUAGCCCUCCGAAAGGAGGAUUAAUACACCGUAAUAUAAUUUGGUGGCAUCAUUAGAUUAUUAAAGGUAGCAAUAUCGGUUUUGGAUGGGCGUGCGCCUGAUUAGGUAGUUGGUGAGGGUAACGGCCCACCAAGCCUUCGAUCAGUAACUGGUGUGAGAGCACGACCAGUCACACGGGCACUGAGACACGGGCCCGACUCCUACGGGAGGCAGCAGUAAGGAAUAUUUGGUCAAUGGACGCAAGUCUGAACCCAGCCAUGCCCGCGUGCAGGAAUGAAA
RNAcentral lists this ribosomal RNA (296 nucleotides) under uncultured Flavisolibacter sp. Its description in RNAcentral is "partial 16S ribosomal RNA". It matches the Rfam family "Bacterial small subunit ribosomal RNA", at positions 126 to 414 of the family's 1533-position model. Lineage: Bacteria; Pseudomonadati; Bacteroidota; Chitinophagia; Chitinophagales; Chitinophagaceae. The record is from RNAcentral.